This 253-nucleotide ribosomal RNA is filed under the name uncultured bacterium. RNAcentral's name for it is "partial 16S ribosomal RNA". It matches the Rfam family "Bacterial small subunit ribosomal RNA", at positions 524 to 776 of the family's 1533-position model. The record is from RNAcentral.
UACGGAGGGGGCUAGCGUUGUUCGGAAUUACUGGGCGUAAAGGGCGCGUAGGCGGCCUGUUGCGUCAGGUGUGAAAGCCCCGGGCUCAACCUGGGAUGUGCACUUGAUACGGGCGGGCUGGAAUCCGGGAGAGGAUGGUGGAAUUCCCAGUGUAGAGGUGAAAUUCGUAGAUAUUGGGAGGAACACCGGUGGCGAAGGCGGCCAACUGGGCUGCAACUGACGCUGAGGCGCGAAAGCGUGGGGAGCAAACAGG